Molecule: long non-coding RNA, 1082 nt
Organism: Paramisgurnus dabryanus
Lineage: Eukaryota; Metazoa; Chordata; Actinopteri; Cypriniformes; Cobitidae
Source: RefSeq, a predicted model, not a curated record
GCUACGGACGGCAAGAUCACGUGAUCCCUUCACCACGCAUUGGACUUCGACGUUGGGCCAAUUGGGUGGCGUCUUACAGCUUGGUGAUCCCGACGUGAUGACGUAUACCACAGGUGACGUAAUUCUGGUGACGUAGUACACCCGAAAAAGUGACGUGGUACUUCAGGAAGCUUUCCAGCGCGACAAUUCAACCAUAGAGGAUUCCAUUCAUCGCAAAAUAGGAGGUUUAAACGUCUACUUUUCUAUCUUCAGCUGUGAUGAGAAGAAACUGCUGUACCUCAGCUUUGAACAUUUCAGCAUCUUCAUAAUUCAUAACCGUCACAAUGGUUCUCACUCUAGCACAGAAGAGUCUCGUCUGGAUCUUUCUGUUUCGUCUCUGUAGUACACAGAAUGAAGAUGUGGACACACAAACCCUUGCACGUAUUGUGCAAACCUUGGAGAACCAGUUGGGACAAUUCGGCCAAUAUGCCGUAGCAUUCAGAGUUGAGAGGGAGAACUGUCUCACAAACUCCAGCUAUUCAGGUGAAGAUUUGAUAACGGAUGGAGUGAAAAACACAAUUCGGAAUAAUGAAGUGUAUGUGAGCAAUAACCUCAUAGCUGCGAAAGCUCUGAAAGGUAUAAACACAAAGCAUUCAGAGUUUCGCCUGAAGAAUUAUCUGAAAAAGGUCUUAAAUAUGAGCGAUAAAUGUGUGAUUUAUUUCACUGUAAGUUCACCCUGUUUGACAAGAUGUCUAGCCGAAAAUGGCAGAUAUACCAUUAGAGGUAGUCUUACAAGUUUACAAGCGUAUCAGGGAAUUAAAGCCUUUGCUUUUAAAAAGAUCUGGGAACAUGAUUCAGAAGAAGAAUUGAUAAGACGACUGAGGGGAAUAGCACCUAAUUUGCCAUCUUAUCAGUUUAGAAGAAAUCCUGUAUGUAUUCGUCUGUAUAAUCUAAAGUCACAGACACAUGAAAAUGACAUGACUAUUUUAAACCUUUAAUUUCUGUGUUUGUUUAACGUGUAUGUAAUAUUCAUGCACUGUAACACUGCUUAUGCUUUGCUGACAACCUUGUUACAGUAAACUAACGUUACCUGCCUGAGCAAA